AGAAACUUAGGAUAACGCCACAAACCAAGGGCCUUCAAAGCCCUAAAUAAGAGUUAAACCCUCUUAGUUUCUG
RNAcentral lists this transfer RNA (73 nucleotides) under Rhinopomastus cyanomelas (common scimitar-bill). Its description in RNAcentral is "tRNA-Trp". It matches the Rfam family "tRNA". Rfam says of the family: Transfer RNA (tRNA) molecules are approximately 80 nucleotides in length. Their secondary structure includes four short double-helical elements and three loops (D, anti-codon, and T loops). Further hydrogen bonds mediate the characteristic L-shaped molecular structure. tRNAs have two regions of fundamental functional importance: the anti-codon, which is responsible for specific mRNA codon recognition, and the 3' end, to which the tRNAs corresponding amino acid is attached (by aminoacyl-tRNA synthetases). tRNAs cope with the degeneracy of the genetic code in two manners: having more than one tRNA (with a specific anti-codon) for a particular amino acid; and 'wobble' base-pairing, i.e. permitting non-standard base-pairing at the 3rd anti-codon position. RNAcentral also lists the same sequence under 2 other names. Lineage: Eukaryota; Metazoa; Chordata; Aves; Bucerotiformes; Rhinopomastidae. The record is from RNAcentral.